Myotis brandtii (Brandt's bat) is the source of this 130-nucleotide long non-coding RNA. RefSeq lists it as uncharacterized. NCBI's taxonomy places the organism in Eukaryota, Metazoa, Chordata, Mammalia, Chiroptera, Vespertilionidae. The transcript has 3 exons. The record is from RefSeq and is a predicted model, not a curated record.
GUCUUCCAUGUUAGUUGUUUGAACAUACCUCUGCUGUUUGAAUUUUGUUUUAAAGUUACUCUGAGUAGGAAACAUUAAAAGUGAUUUGAACCUGACCAGGAUGGCUCAGAGGUUGAGGAUCAGAAGAGCA